GGGGUGACUAGUGGCAGAGUGAGGGAGGGAAGGGGUGACUAGUGGCAGAGUGAGGGAAGGAAGGGGUGACUAGUGACAGAGUGAGGGAGGUGGUGACUGUCACUAGUCACCACCUCCCUCACUCUGUCACUAGUCACCACCUCCCUCUGUCACUACUCUCUCCCUCCUUCUGUCACUAGUCACGCCCUCCCUCACUCUGUCACAUGUCAUCCCCUCCCUCACUCUGUCACCAGUCAUCCCC
Molecule: non-coding RNA, 241 nt
Organism: Pelobates cultripes (western spadefoot toad)
Lineage: Eukaryota; Metazoa; Chordata; Amphibia; Anura; Pelobatidae
Source: the annotation of a GenBank genome assembly